This is a long non-coding RNA of Pan troglodytes (chimpanzee), 2553 nucleotides long. RefSeq lists it as uncharacterized. Lineage: Eukaryota; Metazoa; Chordata; Mammalia; Primates; Hominidae. The transcript is spliced from 4 exons. The record is from RefSeq and is a predicted model, not a curated record.
GGCCUGUAAAGCAGAGUGAGGGAACCAGGAUAGAGAAGGCAAGUCGGGGUCCUGUGGUCGCUGAAGAAUUUGAAUGAAAUCAGUAAACAGGCUGUACAGGAAGCAUGGUGAUGGCAUCUGCAUGGCGCCUGUGGAGGCCCCAGGGAGCUUUUACUCGUGAUGGAAGGCACAGAGGGAGUAGGCACAUCACAUGGUCCGAGGAGGAGCAAGAGAAAAUGGGAGUGGGGCUCUUUGUCCUGGGAAGAGUUUGCUGCAUCUUCCAGUUUCAGCAAUCAAAGAAGCAAAGUUCCCUGCAGUUCUUCAAGGAAUCUUGAGAAUUCAGAAGGUCUUGGGGUGGCUGCAUCCAUCCUGCAGACAAAUGCCAAUCAGCAGAGGGGCCAUUCCCAGGGACACAUGUCUGGCUGACUUGGGCCUUGGCCAGUUGUAACUUGCAUUCACCAAAUUGAUAAUUGUGAUUUGGAGUGAUGUCAGCAAGAUGGCAGAAUAAGAGGACCCUGGCUUCACUACCAUCUCCUGCCGCCUGCCACACACAGAAAGUUCAGCUAGCAAACACCUGCAGACAAGAAUACCUUGGUGAAAACCCUAACAUGUGGGAAUAAGCCAGAGUCAGCUGUGUGGUCCAGAAAGGAAUAAACACUUCAUUAAAGGGUAAGAAAAACAAUCCCAUGUUGACCAUGUCACUCCUCCUCCUCCCCUAAGUCAGCACAGCACCUCGCAGAUGGAAUUCCCCAGAAACUACAGUUCCUACAGAGCAAAAGGAGAAUCAGAGGCAGACAUGAAGCUUCCCUAGCAUUCUGAGAUGCUUCCCAGGAAGCCCACUCUGCUCUCACCUCAGGAGGAACAGAGGGGAAAUGGCAUGGCUAGACCACCUUGGGUGAGAUAGAAGCAAAGCGAGGAGGCAUAGUCCACAGUGACAAGCAGACAGAUCCUGGCUGUAGCUCUGCACACCUGCCAGCAGUAGCACCCAAUCAAUAGUACCAGCUAACACCAUACCCACCUGCAAAUCUGAGCUGGUCACCCUCAGAAGUGGUGGGAAGUUCUACCUGGCUGGAAUCCUUAGAUGACCAGCCUCAGACCCUACCCUGAGAACAUGUCCAGGGAGGGAGUAACCACUACAGCAAUUUUUGGCAAAGACCCAGGGCUAGUGUUGUCACACUCAGGAGUUUAUUACUAUUAUCACUUUCAUUUGAGAUAGGGUCUCACUCUGUCACCUCAGCUGGAGUGCAGUGACGUGAUCACAGCUCACUGUAGCUUCGACUUCCUGGGCUCAGGUGAUCCUCCAGCCUCAGCUUCCCAAGCAGCUUGGACUACAGGUGCAUGCCACCACACCUAGCUAAUUUUUAAACUUUUCGUAAACAUGGGGUCCCACUAUGUUGCCCAGCCUGGUCUUUAAUUCCUGGGCUCAAGCAAUCUUGCUGUCCCAGCUUUCCAAAGUACUGGGAUUAUAGGGGUGAGCCACCAUGCCUGGCCACACCGAGGAGUGUUUAAAUAGUACUUCGCAUGGCCUCAAAGCCCACACCCAUAUCCCACCCAAGGAAGGGGACAACCACCACAGCAAAUUUCAGCAAAGAGCUAGGACUUGACCUAGCACACCCAGGAGUUUAAAUAAUGCUCAGCCUAGUCUCAAAGCCCACCCCAAGACCUCACUUAAGCAGGUAGGCAAACCUCAACUGUGCAUUUUUACCAAGCAUAGUAGCUGGUCCCAUCCGUCCUAGUCAGUGACUCCACCUAACCUCAGAGUGCUUUCUACAACCCUGUUUAACUGCUGACUUUAAAUUGAGGUACCAACUGGCCAGAGAAUACUACACUUCAUGGCCCAGUCUAAUCAGAGGCAAAUUGCAGUGCCCAUCCAGCAGUCCAUCCUCACUGGAGAGUUCAGCUUAGUGGUCUUGCUGAGCUCUUGCUUGGGUAGCAGAUCCCAGCCAGCUGCCCCAUUCAAACUCACAGAAAAGGCAGCACACCAUCAAUGAAAGAACCCCCAAAUAAGCUCUGCAUAUUCAGGGUUGUUAUGAGCUGACGCAUUCAGAACCACAGGCUACACUAAACUGUGACAAUUAUUCCUACCAAAGAAUACCUGCAAAAACUGGAAAAGGUGGCUAUCACCUCAAAUAUGCAGACAGUAAUGUAAGGAUAGAAGGAUAACAUCCUUACAAGGGUAACAAAGACUCAGGAAAUCAUGACACCUCUAAAAAGAAAAAUCAACUAAAAUAGAUUUAACAAUGAACCCCAAGGAAAGGACAAUUUAUAAAAUGACAGACAAUGAGUUUAGAAAAAUCCUCUUAAAGAAGAUCAUGAACUACAAUAAUAUAGGGAUAGAAAAUUAAAUGAAAUUUGGAAAACAAUACAUGAACAAAAUGAGAACUUCAAUGAAAUAGAAAUAAUUCUUAAAAACCAACAGAAAUUCAAGAAUUGAAGAAUACAAUGACUGAACUGAAAAGAUGCAACUGAAAGCUCCCACAGCAGGUUUGAUCAAGCUAAAAGAAGAAUCAGUGAACUGGAAGAUAGAACAUUUGAUAUUAUCCAAUCAGAGUAGCAAAAAUUAAAAAAAAUAAA